RNAcentral lists this ribosomal RNA (301 nucleotides) under uncultured bacterium. RNAcentral describes it as "partial 16S ribosomal RNA". It matches the Rfam family "Bacterial small subunit ribosomal RNA", at positions 509 to 807 of the family's 1533-position model. The record is from RNAcentral.
CAGCAGCCGCGGUAAUACAGAGGGUGCGAGCGUUAAUCGGAUUUACUGGGCGUAAAGCGUGCGUAGGCGGCUAAUUGAGUCGGAUGUGAAAUCCCCGAGCUUAACUUGGGAAUUGCAUUCGAUACUGGUUAGCUAGAGUAUGGGAGAGGAUGGUAGAAUUCCAGGUGUAGCGGUGAAAUGCGUAGAGAUCUGGAGGAAUACCGAUGGCGAAGGCAGCCAUCUGGCCUAAUACUGACGCUGAGGUACGAAAGCAUGGGGAGCAAACAGGAUUAGAUACCCCGGUAGUCCCUGUCUCUUAUAC